GAUUAAGUUAUUAAGGGCGCACGGUGGAUGCCUUGGCACUAGAAGCCGAUGAAGGACGUUACUAACGACGAUAUGCUUUGGGGAGCUGUAAGUAAGCUUUGAUCCAGAGAUUUCCGAAUGGGGAAACCCAGCAUGAGUUAUGUCAUGUUAUCGAUAUGUGAAUAC
This 165-nucleotide ribosomal RNA is filed under the name Staphylococcus aureus. Its description in RNAcentral is "partial 23S ribosomal RNA". It matches the Rfam family "Bacterial large subunit ribosomal RNA", at positions 1 to 165 of the family's 2925-position model. The record is from RNAcentral. Lineage: Bacteria; Bacillati; Bacillota; Bacilli; Caryophanales; Staphylococcaceae.